RNAcentral lists this ribosomal RNA (497 nucleotides) under uncultured bacterium. RNAcentral describes it as "partial 16S ribosomal RNA". It matches the Rfam family "Bacterial small subunit ribosomal RNA", at positions 28 to 507 of the family's 1533-position model. The record is from RNAcentral.
GAUGAACGCUGGUGGCGUGCCUAAUACAUGCAAGUCGAGCGAACAGACGAGGAGCUUGCUCCUCUGACGUUAGCGGCGGACGGGUGAGUAACACGUGGAUAACCUACCUAUAAGACUGGGAUAACUUCGGGAAACCGGAGCUAAUACCGGAUAAUAUAUUGAACCGCAUGGUUCAAUAGUGAAAGACGGUUUUGCUGUCACUUAUAGAUGGAUCCGCGCCGCAUUAGCUAGUUGGUAAGGUAACGGCUUACCAAGGCGACGAUGCGUAGCCGACCUGAGAGGGUGAUCGGCCACACUGGAACUGAGACACGGUCCAGACUCCUAAGGGAGGCAGCAGUAGGGAAUCUUCCGCAAUGGGCGAAAGCCUGACGGAGCAACGCCGCGUGAGUGAUGAAGGUCUUCGGAUCGUAAAACUCUGUUAUUAGGGAAGAACAAAUGUGUAAGUAACUAUGCACGUCUUGACGGUACCUAAUCAGAAAGCCACGGCUAACUACGUG